AUAAACGUUUUAAUCUUUUUUAAAAAGUUAAACUUAUUGGUUUCUCACG
Molecule: transfer RNA, 49 nt
Filed under: Plateros sp. UPOL A00486
Lineage: Eukaryota; Metazoa; Arthropoda; Insecta; Coleoptera; Lycidae
Description: partial tRNA-Ser
Source: RNAcentral